CCUACGGGAGGCAGCAGUGAGGAAUAUUGGUCAAUGGACGAGAGUCUGAACCAGCCAAGUAGCGUGAAGGAUGACUGCCCUAUGGGUUGUAAACUUCUUUUAUAUGGGAAUAAAACGUUCCACGUGUGGGAUUUUGUAUGUACCAUAUGAAUAAGGAUCGGCUAACUCCGUGCCAGCAGCCGCGGUAAUACGGAGGAUCCGAGCGUUAUCCGGAUUUAUUGGGUUUAAAGGGAGCGUAGGUGGAUUGUUAAGUCAGUUGUGAAAGUUUGCGGCUCAACCGUAAAAUUGCAGUUGAAACUGGCAGUCUUGAGUACAGUAGAGGUGGGCGGAAUUCGUGGUGUAGCGGUGAAAUGCUUAGAUAUCACGAAGAACUCCGAUUGCGAAGGCAGUUCACUGGACUGAAACUGACACUGAGGCUCGAAAGUGUGGGUAUCAAACAGGAUUAGAUACCCGAGUAGUC
This 460-nucleotide ribosomal RNA is filed under the name uncultured bacterium. Its description in RNAcentral is "partial 16S ribosomal RNA". It matches the Rfam family "Bacterial small subunit ribosomal RNA", at positions 338 to 795 of the family's 1533-position model. The record is from RNAcentral.